ACUCACCAGGUCAGGACACGGUAAGGAUUGACGGACUGAAGGCUCUUUCUCGAUUCCGUGGAAAGUGGUGCAUGGCCGUUUUUGGUUGGUGGAUCGAUCCGUCUGGUUAAUUCCGUUAACGAACGAGACCUCGGCACUCCGAAUAGCGCGGCGGACGUCGCGGCCUCCGGGCCGUCUUCCGCACGAGCUUCUUAGAGGGACCGUCCCCCGCCGGGGAAGGAGGUGCGAGGCAACGACAGGUCUGUGAUGCCCUUAGAUGUUCUGGGCCGCACGCGCAUUACACUGACGCGUCCAACGGGUGACUCCCGACCCGAAGGGGCCGGGGAAUCCGCAAGGCGCGUCGUGAUGGGGAUUGAACGUUGCAAUUGUUGUUCACGAACGAGGAAUUCCUAGUAGGCGCGGGUCAUCAACCCGCGCCGAUUACGUCCCUGCC
Molecule: ribosomal RNA, 433 nt
Filed under: uncultured eukaryote
Lineage: Eukaryota
Description: bacterial SSU rRNA
Rfam family: Eukaryotic small subunit ribosomal RNA
Source: RNAcentral